UUUCAGCUCCCGCUCAUUCUAAACGAUUUACCAGAGAUCACAAUUAAGAAAAUGCUUGAAACAAUGCAUGUACUAUUUCUAGUUAGGGUACUUUUUAGAGCAGAAGUGAAAUUAAUAUCUGGACAAGAUACACAGGAGAAAACAGAAGAAUAGUUUGAAAAGAUUAGGCAGCGCCUUUAGUAUACAAUACCUGAAACCAGGCUUCAGAAGGCAG
This 214-nucleotide unclassified non-coding RNA is filed under the name Hevea brasiliensis (rubber tree). The record is from RNAcentral. Lineage: Eukaryota; Viridiplantae; Streptophyta; Magnoliopsida; Malpighiales; Euphorbiaceae.